RNAcentral lists this long non-coding RNA (772 nucleotides) under Dermacentor andersoni. Its description in RNAcentral is "uncharacterized LOC126519796". Lineage: Eukaryota; Metazoa; Arthropoda; Arachnida; Ixodida; Ixodidae. The record is from RNAcentral.
UGGGUCGGACAGCCGCCGGAGGCCGUUGUGACGCUGCCCCCUGACGCGCCACAUCGGCAAAGGUUUUCCUGGGCAGCUCUGCGAGCUGUGGCCAAAACGCUGGCAUUUGAAGCAUCUUAGGGGAUUUGGCACAUAUGGCCUGACACGGAGCUUGAUGUACCCGGCCUCUACAGACUCGGGCAGAAUACUUGAACCGAAUGAACUGGAAAACUUCAUCGGUGCGCCCUCUUUUGUGAGGGCGAUCAGGAAGCGGAGGGAAGGAGCUAGCCAUAAAGGAAUUGAAUUUUCGGCAACAACGCCAGCCACCCACCAUGGAGCCCUACCAGGGGACGUUACAGGGACUGUAAAAACAGGUCCUGCAAACGCCAGCUUUACGUUGUCACUAUAACCAAAUAUGAGAUAACCUAGGUUGGUUAUUCACACAAGGUUAACCCUUGCUGCCUGGAAAAAUUGGAAGUAAGCGGAAGCUAGGAGAAGACAGGAAAGAUGAAAAGUAAGAGAAAGACGAAGAUUAGAGGGAGAGAGAGACAGGAAAAGGCAACUACCGAUUUCCCCCGGGUGGGUCAGUCCGGGGGUGCCGUCUACGUGAAGCCGAGGCCAAAGGGGUGUGUUGCCGCCGCCGAGGGGCCGUAAAGGUCCACACACCCGGCAUUGGCUCAACCCCCAGGAUCCCCUUUUCCCCGGACACGGCUAAGCCGCGCACGGCUACACGCGGGAGGGUCCAACCCUCGUGUGCUCGGGUACGUGGUGUCGCAACACACCAAACGCCUGC